UACGGGGGGAGCAAGCGUUGUUCGGAUUUACUGGGCGUAAAGGGCGCGUAGGCGGUCAGCACAAGUCAGUUGUGAAAUCUCCGGGCUUAACUCGGAAAGGUCAACUGAUACUGUGCGACUAGAGUGCGGAAGGGGCAACUGGAAUUCUUGGUGUAGCGGUGAAAUGCGUAGAUAUCAAGAGGAACACCUGCGGCGAAGGCGGGUUGCUGGGCCGACACUGACGCUGAGGCGCGAAAGCCAGGGGAGCAAACGGG
Molecule: ribosomal RNA, 254 nt
Filed under: uncultured bacterium
Lineage: Bacteria
Description: partial 16S ribosomal RNA
Rfam family: Bacterial small subunit ribosomal RNA
Source: RNAcentral